ACUCCACGUCCGACUCCCGAUCCAACUAAACAGGACCCCUCAAGGCCGACUCGGGUAGCAGGCCAGCAGUGACUUUCUUUAACGGGAUUGCUAAUUUUCAUCCGUAUGAAAAUAAUUCGCUUUCAUCCGUUUUUCUACCCGUCGGAUUUUGGUGUCAAGAUUCACGUUUUUCCUUUUCUUUUCCAGACUCGGGGUUGUUUUGUUCGUUACCGGGCCCGUAAUCUUCUCCUUGGAGACCCGUUAAUCCUGGCGGGUCCGUGUACUAGCCGGUUUUUUCUUUUAUUUUCGAAUUUCCUUUUAUCUUCUCCGCUGACUUUGUCUGUUUUCCUUUCCCAUUUGGAGCGGCAAGAUCUUGGAGGCAGAGAGGAGAGAGCCAUGGCGAUUUUGGUAGGUUAGCUUUGUCGCUGAUCUCUGGAGAGCGAGCCAGUGGUUAGGCGCCCGGUCCCCCUCCCCCUCCCCCUCCCCCAUCCCCUGUUGCUUCUCCUUGAAGUGUGUUGAGGCAGAGGAGAGGUCGAUGCAUGGUGAUUCGGCAGCGGUGUCUUAUCUGCUUCUGUUGAUUUCGUCCCGCCCCUCCUUUUGCUGUGGUGUUUCGACCCCUGUGCCUCCCUUCUUCACGCAACGAGGAAAAUCCAUUCAAUAUGUGCAUGUACAUUCAUGAAAUCUAAUUCAGAAUUUUUAGGAAUUACCUUUUCUUAGUGGAUUUUACACUGUAAUCCUAAUUGGAUUUACAGUGUAAUUCUUAGUGUAUUUUAGUGGUUUUUUUACAGUGUAAUUACAGUGUUAUUCUUAGUGGAUCCUUAGUGGAUUUGUACUGUAAUUCUACUUGGAUUUACAGUGUAUUUUCUCACUGUACUUCUCAGUGGAUUUACAAUGUUUUUAGUGGUUUUACAUUGUAAUUUUUAGUGAAUCUUCAUUGUAAUUCUUAGUGCUCUUGUAAUGUAAUUCUUUAAUUGAUUUACAGUGUAUUUUCUAAAUGUAUUUACACUGUAAUUGUUAGUGCUUUAGAAAGGAAUCUAAUUCUUUUGUUGCACAGCAGCAAGGUUCAA
Triticum aestivum (bread wheat) is the source of this 1046-nucleotide long non-coding RNA. RefSeq lists it as uncharacterized. The transcript is spliced from 2 exons. The record is from RefSeq and is a predicted model, not a curated record. NCBI's taxonomy places the organism in Eukaryota, Viridiplantae, Streptophyta, Magnoliopsida, Poales, Poaceae.